This 113-nucleotide ribosomal RNA is filed under the name Prevotella sp. The record is from RNAcentral. Lineage: Bacteria; Pseudomonadati; Bacteroidota; Bacteroidia; Bacteroidales; Prevotellaceae.
UUGGGUGGUUAUUGCGCCGGGGUUCCACCUCUUCCCAUUCCGAACAGAGAAGUUAAGCCCGGUUGCGCCGAUGGUACUGCAAUGCAAUGCGGGAGAGUAGGAGGCCGCCUUCU